AUUGAACGCUAGCGGGAUGCCUUACACAUGCAAGUCGAACGGCAGCACGGACUUCGGUCUGGUGGCGAGUGGCGAACGGGUGAGUAAUGUAUCGGAACGUGCCCAGUAGCGGGGGAUAACUACGCGAAAGCGUAGCUAAUACCGCAUACGCCCUACGGGGGAAAGCAGGGGAUCGCAAGACCUUGCACUAUUGGAGCGGCCGAUAUCGGAUUAGCUAGUUGGUGGGGUAACGGCUCACCAAGGCGACGAUCCAUAGCUGGUUUGAGAGGACGACCAGCCACACUGGGACUGAGACACGGCCCAGACUCCUACGGGAGGCAGCAGUGGGGAAUUUUGGACAAUGGGGGAAACCCUGAUCCAGCCAUCCCGCGUGUGCGAUGAAGGCCUUCGGGUUGUAAAGCACUUUUGGCAGGAAAGAAACGUCGCGGGUUAAUACCUCGCGAAACUGACGGUACCUGCAGAAUAAGCACCGGCUAACUACGUG
RNAcentral lists this ribosomal RNA (484 nucleotides) under uncultured bacterium. Its description in RNAcentral is "partial 16S ribosomal RNA". It matches the Rfam family "Bacterial small subunit ribosomal RNA", at positions 30 to 507 of the family's 1533-position model. The record is from RNAcentral.